UGAUUACACGGCGCUGAUUUGAACUCAGAUUGCGGGCGCCUUAUAAAACCGGCUAAAGAGAGAACGAAAAGUUUUCC
Molecule: regulatory RNA element, 77 nt
Rfam family: Alpha-proteobacteria SAM riboswitch aptamer
About the family: This family is a riboswitch found predominantly in alpha-proteobacteria that binds S-adenosyl methionine (SAM). This SAM riboswitch is located upstream of the metA and metC genes in Agrobacterium tumefaciens, and other methionine and SAM biosynthesis genes in other alpha-proteobacteria. Like the other SAM riboswitch, it probably functions to turn off expression of these genes in response to elevated SAM levels.
Source: Rfam